Molecule: ribosomal RNA, 377 nt
Filed under: uncultured bacterium
Lineage: Bacteria
Description: bacterial SSU rRNA
Rfam family: Bacterial small subunit ribosomal RNA
Source: RNAcentral
ACUCCUACGGGAGGCAGCAGUGGGGAAUAUUGCACAAUGGGGGAAACCCUGAUGCAGCCAUGCCGCGUGUGUGAAGAAGGCCUUGGUUGUAAAGCACUUCUAGUAGGGAGGAAGGUAGUGUAGUUAACACCUGCAUUAUUUGUACGUUACCUACAGAAGAAGCACCGGCUAACUCCGUGCCAGCAGCCGCGGUAAGUACGGAGGGUGCGAGCGUUAAUCGGAAUUACUGGGCGUAAAGCGCAUGCAGGCGGCCUGUUAAGUCAGAUGUGAAAGCCCGGGGUCUUAACCUCGGAAUUGCAUUUGAAACUGGCAGGCUAGAGUCUUGUAGAGGGGUUAGAAUUUCAGGUGUAGCGGUGAAAUGCGUAGAGAUCUGAAGG